This 437-nucleotide ribosomal RNA is filed under the name uncultured Oscillospiraceae bacterium. RNAcentral's name for it is "partial 16S ribosomal RNA". It matches the Rfam family "Bacterial small subunit ribosomal RNA", at positions 341 to 792 of the family's 1533-position model. The record is from RNAcentral. Lineage: Bacteria; Bacillati; Bacillota; Clostridia; Eubacteriales; Oscillospiraceae.
ACGGGAGGCAGCAGUGGGGAAUAUUGGGCAAUGGGCGAAAGCCUGACCCAGCGACGCCGCGUGAGGGAUGAAGAUCUUCGGAUUGUAAACCUCUUUCAGCAGGGAAGAAGCAAGUGACGGUACCUGCAGAAGAAGCCACGGCUAAAUACGUGCCAGCAGCCGCUGUAAUACGGAGGUGGCGAGCGUUAUCCGGAAUUACUGGGUGUAAAGGGUGUGUAGGCGGGGAGGCAAGUCAGGCGUGAAAAUCAUGGGCUCCAACCAUGACGUGCGCUUGAAACUGUUGUUCUUGAGUGUGGGAGAGGUAAGUGGAAUUCCCAGUGUAGCGGUGAAAUGCGUAGAUAUUGGGAGGAACAACAGUGGCGAAGGCGGCUUACUGGACCACAACUGACGCUGAGACACGAAAGCGUGGGGAGCAAACAGGAUUAGAUACCCUGGUA